Long non-coding RNA from Oryzias melastigma (Indian medaka), 2089 nucleotides. RefSeq lists it as uncharacterized. The transcript has 5 exons. Lineage: Eukaryota; Metazoa; Chordata; Actinopteri; Beloniformes; Adrianichthyidae. The record is from RefSeq and is a predicted model, not a curated record.
UGGAAGUCCACACCCCAUAGCACUCGAAAGUGGGCUCGAGAGAAUCUGUCAACUUUGAACGUUCAAGUUUAUGGGAUUGUAGUUUCUUGGAGCCAGCAAGUACUUCCUGUUUGGAAUCCGAUGGAAGGCCGUCAAAUUUGAGGGAUGUGGAUGACCCACCUGGAGGAUAUAAAAGAGACACGCUCAAAUGAUGGGAAGAAAACUGAAGCAGAUCGUUAUAAGAUGAAACAUUAUCAUCACAAGAAAGGAAUGUCUUAAGGCUUGGAUAGAAACACACAGAUGCACUAGAGAAGAAACAGAAAUCCAUGAGGCUCCUCUGCACUGAAAUUCAAAAUGAGGGCAGCUGAAAACGCAAACUUGUGGCUCAAACCCUAAUGAAUAAUAAAGAGGAUGUUUUUGAUUUGAAUUCAUAAAACUUUUACCCCAGAGUUCAUGUUGUUCUUGUACAGACAUGCCAUACAGUGUAAAAUCGACCAUGGUGUUCUGGUUUAGACAAAUCUCAUUUUUGCCUCAAAUUUCACUUUUACAACUGAUUUUUAAGAAUGUCAUUUGCCCCUUUUGUUAAAGCAGAACUUUAAUGCUUAAAGAUAAGUGGUUUGUUCAUAAAGUAGCUCCGGUUGAGGAAGACUGUAAUGGCACCCCAAAUAAUAAGCAAGCUCUGAUGAAAGGUAAAACGGUUUAUUAGGUAGGAGAGGCAAUAAACAGUCUCUGGCAGGUAGUUGGCACAGCAGUAACCAGACAAGAAAAGAAAAAGUCACAGGAGGCCGUAGAUAUUAGUAAGGAGAGGCUCUGAGGGGGAUGGAGUCCUUCAGUAAAACUCUGCUGUUCUACUUCCUGUUGCAGUGAUGGUAAAUACAGUCACCGCAGGGUCAUCAAAUCCAUAGUCAAAGUGCAAACUCUCCAGAAAAACAGGUUGUGGCAAAAGCUCACAUGGUCAUGGACAGAAUAACAGGUCAGAUAAUGAUGAAGGCAGUAUUAGGCAUUAUAUGUCGCUUUGAAACAAAAGUUGAGACAAUCAGAUCCUCAUAAAGAGUCUCCCACAGGUUAGUGGAAUGACAGUGAUUAGAGCUGACAGGCAGGGAGGAGAGCAGAGAAACGACAAAAAACACGGCAACAGGGUUUAUCUACAAAAACAGUCUAAAUGUGACAAUAAAUUUAAAUUUCACAGCCAGUUUUAAAUGUGAGGUUGUGUUUAUUUUAUGCAGACUGCUUAAAGCAAGAAAGGUGGAUUAACUGUUAUGUUGUUGCUUUUUUGUUGUAUUUUUAACCAUACAGCAACACACAAAUCCAUUCUCCUCAUAUAUCUUGGAGAUAUUUGAUUUUCCUAACCACAUCGAUCGCCACAGGAAAACAUCUUUAAAGUUCCACUCCAACUAGGUUUUUAUUGUACAGUUUUUCCCAGUGGUCGGGCAGGUUUUAUUGGCACGGAUAGGUGAACAGGGUUGAAGCACAGCUAAAAGUCCACAAAGCUAAAUCAGGGUCAGGUAGGUCAAACACGAGCAUGACGGCAUCAGUGAACAACCAGUGAUCAGCGUCCAAGAAAGGGACGGGGCAGGCGGCAAACAAUCAGAGACAAAGACAAAGCGAGGUCAGAUGAAACAGAAGAUCAGGUCAUGAUGAGAACGCUCAGUGAUGCAGGUAGAGUGGCACAAACAAGACUUCACUCUGAAUAGGACUCAGUGCUCUGUCUAAAUACUGCCGGGAGUGAUUGCAGAUGGAAAACGGCAGCAGAGCUUCUGGGAGAUGGGAAGUGAAGUGUGGAGACACAGGAAGUGUUAGUACUCAGGAGAUGGAUCGCGAUGAUGGUGGAGGGGACCAAUUCAUGACACUUUUAAUUAUGAUAAUGCAGUUUUUUUCAGCCAAAUUCAUAAAGCCUUUGUCGGUUUUUAAGACACAUUUUCGGCACUGUGGUAGGAGUUCAUCUGAAGUGUUCAUCUGGUUUGUGGGCGGGACUGUUGGCACAGAAGUUAGCUGCAAUAAUUAGUUCCAUCAGCCCUUUAACACUAAAUCCUGUUACCAAAAAAACAAGCAUCAACAGAGUUAUCCAUCCAUACAGUUUUAAUCCGGAUAGCAGCUCAGACGAGGACAA